GUAGGUGGCAAGCGUUGUCCGGAAUUAUCGGGCGUAAAGCGCGCGCAGGCGGUCCUUUAAGUCUGAUGUGAAAGCCCACGGCUCAACCGUGGAGGGUCAUUGGAAACUGGGGGACUUGAGUACAGAAGAGGAAAGCGGAAUUCCAAGUGUAGCGGUGAAAUGCGUAGAGAUUUGGAGGAACACCAGUGGCGAAGGCGGCUUUCUGGUCUGUAACUGACGCUGAGGCGCGAAAGCGUGGGGAGCAAACAGGGAUUAGAUACCCUGGUAGUCCACGCCGUAAACGAUGAGUGCUAAGUGUUAGGGGGUUUCCCGCCCCUUAGUGCUGCAGCUAACGCAUUAAGCACUCCGCCUGGGGAGUACGGCCGCAAGGCUG
This 373-nucleotide ribosomal RNA is filed under the name uncultured organism. RNAcentral describes it as "partial 16S ribosomal RNA". It matches the Rfam family "Bacterial small subunit ribosomal RNA", at positions 527 to 896 of the family's 1533-position model. The record is from RNAcentral.